UGACGUGUCGUCGGUCGGCCUCUCCGGGAGACCCGUAACCCCGGGUCACAGCUCUGCCCACGGGUCCACAGAGUCCCUCUCCCUCAGUGAAAAGCACUCGGAAAAACACGGAAUUCCGGACGAGGAGGAGGAUAUUCUUGAUUUAGGAGCGCUGGUCUCUGAACCGGACACACAGUUGCAACCGGAGGAGGACGAGGGGAAAAGGGGGGAGGAAGAGGAAGAGGGAGAGGGAGAGACAAGGAUUCCCCACUGUCUGGUGGGUUCUGUGUUUAGUGCAGAUCGCGACGAUGGUGACGACGAGAGGCCCGUGGCUUUCUCCGAGGGUGGGGGAGAGAGGGUGAGGCCUGAGUUGUUGGAGUUUGUUGGAGACUGGCCUUCAGAGGAGGUACUGGAGCAAAGAAGAAGAGGAGGAGGAAGGAAUGGGAAGCGCCCUGGGAGGGAGGAAGAGGGAGUUGAUGAGGGGGAGGAGGCAGGUCCCAGAGGCAGCCAAUCAGAAGGGCUUCCUGGUAGCGGGCCUCAUGUCACAGAGUUCCAGAAGCUUCUAGAGCUCUUACAGACAGGUGUUGACUCCCACCCUCUGCCCACCUGCCCUUCCCCCAUCCUCUCCCCCUUCUCCCCGAGCUCACACCAUUCAGUUGGAGGAGAAGGAGGAGAGAGGGGUGAGGCAGGGGGGAGGAGAGGGGAGGCUGAUAAAGACCGAGUCCUGAGUCGGGAGGAAUUACCUGACUGUGUGGUGGUUGAAUCCAACACCGUGGAGCAGAGGGAGGGAGAGACCAUCCAGGUCGCCGUAGAGGGGGGGACGACUCGGGGUUUAGUUGAGGAAGACUUGGUGGAGGUAGAGGGAAGCCAUCCUGGUAAGGUAGAUCGAGGCCAUGUUGGUGAGGUCAGUCAGUGUACUGAUGCUAGUGAGACCAGGAUGGAAGGUGAAGUCGGCCAUCUUGGUGGGGGCAGUCAGUGUGCUGAUAGUGACAGCCAUAUUGGUGAGGGCAGUGAGGAAGCUGGUGAAGACAGCCAUGUUGGUGAGGUCAGUCAGUGUACUGAUGCUAGUGAGACCAGGAUGGAAGGUGAAUUCGGCCAUCUUGGUGGGGGCAGUCAGGAGCGGAAGCAGCAGCAGCAGAGUCGCAGGGCGGGGAAACAGUGCAAACUGGCACUCACCUUCACAAACAACACCCCUCCCUCCCCCAAACCACAGAUAGACCUCGCCCCUGACCUUGACCCUGACCUUGACCCUAAUCUCGACUCUGACCUUGCCCCUAAUCUCGACUCUGACCUCGCCCCUAAUCUCGACUCUGACCUUGCCCCUAAUCUCGACUCUGACCUUAACCUUAACCCCGACCUUAACCCUG
RNAcentral lists this long non-coding RNA (1346 nucleotides) under Salmo salar (Atlantic salmon). RNAcentral describes it as "lncRNA (ENSSSAG00000094590.1)". Lineage: Eukaryota; Metazoa; Chordata; Actinopteri; Salmoniformes; Salmonidae. The record is from RNAcentral.